This 237-nucleotide ribosomal RNA is filed under the name uncultured bacterium. RNAcentral describes it as "partial 16S ribosomal RNA". It matches the Rfam family "Bacterial small subunit ribosomal RNA", at positions 118 to 350 of the family's 1533-position model. The record is from RNAcentral.
UGAGUAACCUGCCCUUCACUCUGGGAUAACUCCGGGAAACCGGGGCUAAUACUGGAUAUGACCUACUCGGGCAUCCGAUGUGGGUGGAAAGAUUUAUUGGGUGGGGGAUGGACUCGCGGCCUAUCAGCUUGUUGGUGAGGUAAUGGCUCACCAAGGCGACGACGGGUANCUGGUCUGAGAGGAUGGCCAGCCACAGUUGGGACUGAGACACCGGCCCAGACCUCCGUACGGGAGGNA